RNAcentral lists this ribosomal RNA (2198 nucleotides) under Vibrio cholerae. RNAcentral's name for it is "partial 23S ribosomal RNA". It matches the Rfam family "Bacterial large subunit ribosomal RNA", at positions 1 to 2234 of the family's 2925-position model. The record is from RNAcentral. Lineage: Bacteria; Pseudomonadati; Pseudomonadota; Gammaproteobacteria; Vibrionales; Vibrionaceae.
GUUGUAUGGUUAAGUGACUAAGCGUACACGGUGGAUGCCUGGGCAGUCAGAGGCGAUGAAGGACGUACUAACUUGCGAUAAGCGCAGAUAAGGCAGUAAGAGCCGUUUGAGUCUGCGAUUUCCGAAUGGGGAAACCCAACUGCAUAAGCAGUUACUGUUAACUGAAUACAUAGGUUAACAGAGCAAACCGGGGGAACUGAAACAUCUAAGUACCCCGAGGAGAAGAAAUCAACCGAGAUUCCGGUAGUAGCGGCGAGCGAACCUGGAUUAGCCCUUAAGCACUCGGUGAAGUAGGUGAACAAGCUGGAAAGCUUGGCGAUACAGGGUGAUAGCCCCGUAACCGACGCUUCAUCGAGCGUGAAAUCGAGUAGGGCGGGACACGUGAUAUCCUGUCUGAAUAUGGGGGGACCAUCCUCCAAGGCUAAAUACUCCUGACUGACCGAUAGUGAACCAGUACCGUGAGGGAAAGGCGAAAAGAACCCCUGUGAGGGGAGUGAAAUAGAACCUGAAACCGUGUACGUACAAGCAGUAGGAGCACCUUCGUGGUGUGACUGCGUACCUUUUGUAUAAUGGGUCAGCGACUUAUAUUCAGUGGCAAGGUUAACCGUAUAGGGGAGCCGUAGCGAAAGCGAGUCUUAACUGGGCGCUCAGUCUCUGGAUAUAGACCCGAAACCGGGUGAUCUAGCCAUGGGCAGGUUGAAGGUUGAGUAACAUCAACUGGAGGACCGAACCGACUAAUGUUGAAAAAUUAGCGGAUGACUUGUGGCUAGGGGUGAAAGGCCAAUCAAACUCGGAGAUAGCUGGUUCUCCCCGAAAGCUAUUUAGGUAGCGCCUCGGACGAAUACUACUGGGGGUAGAGCACUGUUAAGGCUAGGGGGUCAUCCCGACUUACCAACCCUUUGCAAACUCCGAAUACCAGUAAGUACUAUCCGGGAGACACACGGCGGGUGCUAACGUCCGUCGUGGAGAGGGAAACAACCCAGACCGCCAGCUAAGGUCCCAAAGUAUUGCUAAGUGGGAAACGAUGUGGGAAGGCUCAGACAGCUAGGAUGUUGGCUUAGAAGCAGCCAUCAUUUAAAGAAAGCGUAAUAGCUCACUAGUCGAGUCGGCCUGCGCGGAAGAUGUAACGGGGCUAAGCAAUACACCGAAGCUGCGGCAAUAUCUUUUAGAUAUUGGGUAGGGGAGCGUUCUGUAAGCCGUUGAAGGUGAAUCGUAAGGUUUGCUGGAGGUAUCAGAAGUGCGAAUGCUGACAUGAGUAACGACAAAGGGGGUGAAAAACCUCCUCGCCGGAAGACCAAGGGUUCCUGUCCAACGUUAAUCGGGGCAGGGUGAGUCGACCCCUAAGGUGAGGCCGAAAGGCGUAAUCGAUGGGAAACGGGUUAAUAUUCCCGUACUUCUGACUAUUGCGAUGGGGGGACGGAGAAGGCUAGGUGGGCCAGGCGACGGUUGUCCUGGUUCAAGUGCGUAGGCUUGAGAGUUAGGUAAAUCCGGCUCUCUCUAAGGCUGAGACACGACGUCGAGCUGCUACGGCAGUGAAGUCAUUGAUGCCAUGCUUCCAGGAAAAGCCUCUAAGCUUCAGAUAGUCAGGAAUCGUACCCCAAACCGACACAGGUGGUCGGGUAGAGAAUACCAAGGCGCUUGAGAGAACUCGGGUGAAGGAACUAGGCAAAAUGGUACCGUAACUUCGGGAGAAGGUACGCUCUUGAUGGUGAAGUCCCUCGCGGAUGGAGCUGACGAGAGUCGCAGAUACCAGGUGGCUGCAACUGUUUAUUAAAAACACAGCACUGUGCAAAAUCGCAAGAUGACGUAUACGGUGUGACGCCUGCCCGGUGCCGGAAGGUUAAUUGAUGGGGUUAGCGCAAGCGAAGCUCUUGAUCGAAGCCCCGGUAAACGGCGGCCGUAACUAUAACGGUCCUAAGGUAGCGAAAUUCCUUGUCGGGUAAGUUCCGACCUGCACGAAUGGCGUAAUGAUGGCCACGCUGUCUCCACCCGAGACUCAGUGAAAUUGAAAUCGCUGUGAAGAUGCAGUGUACCCGCGGCUAGACGGAAAGACCCCGUGAACCUUUACUACAGCUUGGCACUGAACAUUGAACCUACAUGUGUAGGAUAGGUGGGAGGCUAUGAAGACGUGACGCCAGUUGCGUUGGAGCCGUCCUUGAAAUACCACCCUUGUAUGUUUGAUGUUCUAACUUAGACCC